AGGCUGGCUGGAGGUCACAGCAUUUCUGCUCUUCUGCUCCUCGCUUCCAGUCACUCCAUUGACCACGAGAGCCUCCCGCCAUGUCAUACAAGUCCACUCCACUUUGUGUCUUCUUCUGAGCGAUCCUCCUGCCUAGCUGCCAGGAGCUAUGCCACCCGCCUCUGUGCCGUGGGGCCACCAGCACCCCCAGAGGGAUGGACACGUGUGCAAGCAAGGCCAGUCCAGUCCCCCUUCCGGGAAGGUGACGGGUCAGAGGCGGAGGAUGACGGGUCAACUUCUUUGUUGCCAGUGCCCUGGGUGCUCCCUUCGCUGCCUCUUCCAGGCGCCUUGACCUGGGAACAUUGCUGCUCCAACCUUUCAGGUGUCUCCUGUCCUGCUGUUUCUAUACAGAACUCAAAGAGAUGCAAGAAAAAGACACACCAGUGUCAACUCACAGAUACAAAUUUGCUUGAAAACCUAAUAAAAAUGUAAUUGGACUUGAGGUAUAAAAAGAAGACAUGCAAGAAGAUAGAAGUUCAAAAAUUUCAAAGUUCAAGUCUUCCUGACUUUUCCCGACCCGGUUUGUAGACGUGCCCUGCAGACAUGGUGACUUUGCUUCUCUGACCACAAAUCAGAGCACAGUGUGCAGAAUGACGUAGGGUGUUUCAACCUGCUCUUCGGAAACAAUCAGCAGUAUUGGUUAAACCCGCUCCCUUCCUGGCAGCUGCCGGGAGCUCCCAGCCUAUUUCCCUUCCCUUUGUGGUGUUGGAGGUCUGGGAUCUUGUCUGAGAGCCCCUCAUGGGCCUUCAGCUGUCUGCUCCCUUCCCCGUGGACCCAGCACCCCUCAGUGGAGGGAAGGAGCCUGGGGUAGAGGAGGGUCGUCUGCAGGGGUGCAUGGGAAGGAAGAGGAGGGACCACCUCCCACCUGCCCGAAAGCAGAAACAGGAUGAACACAGGGGUCUGGCUCCCGGGACCCAAAGAACCCUCAGCUCUUAGCUUUCUGAAGGGGCUCUUUCCUACCUCAUCAGGAAUAACAAUGAAUCCUGCAUACCUGUGCAGAUGGGAGAACCUCUGUGGGCAGUUUGGUGGCCCUGGAGCUGAGUCUCUUGCUACUGAUUGGCUUUGGGUUACUCUCAAUACACAUUAGAAUAUCCUGAGAUGCUUUAAACAUCCUUGUCCUGGCCAUGCCUUGUGUUCCAGUGCCAGAGAUUUGGAUUUGGUUGAUCUGAGUGGGUGGGACGUGGACACUUAAAAUAGAAAAAAAGAAACUUAAUAGAGGAUUCCAGUGUGUAGUGGGGAACUACUGCUGGUUCUUGAAACCUGGUCCCAGGACCAUCAGGGCCAGCAUCACCUGAGAAGUCGAUAGAAAUGUAGAUUCUGCUCCUCCCCAUAGACACGCUGAACCAGAAACUCUGGGGGCAGUGGCCAGCCAGCUGUGGUUUCAGACACCCCAGUUCAUUCUGAUGGGCACAGCUGAGGACCACGAUGCUGAUGUGGAUGGAUAAGAGGCCUCAUGGAAACAGAACAUCAUGAAGCCCAAGGAGAUGUUGGAACAAUACACGGAACCUUUGAGUGGAAACAAUAAUACUUUUGACACUAACAUUCCCUGUUUAUCUCAAAUAGCGUCUCUCUGCUGUAUCCUUAUUGUCAGUAGAGACAACGGCUCCACACGUUCAACACAUGAGGUCAUGUGAGCCUUCGUGGGGUUAAAUAACUGGUACAAGGUCAGACAGCCAACUGGUCUUGGAGCUCCGAUUCAAGUCCAGACUUGUGUGAUCAGCUAAACUCUUUAACCUCUGCUGCGCUUGCCCUGUCCGCCACCCUAAGAGUGCAGCUCCUGGGAGAGGGGUCCUUGUCUUGCUCAUGGUGAGCCCUUCCUGCUCCCCGGCACCCUGGCUUCUAGAGCUGCCCUGUCCAGUAGGGUAGCCGCUGGAAAUGUGACCAGGCCAAACUGAGAUGUGCUGUAAGGAUAAAAUACACACUGGGUUUAGACUUAGUAUAAAAUA
This is a long non-coding RNA of Balaenoptera ricei (Rice's whale), 1985 nucleotides long. RefSeq lists it as uncharacterized. The transcript is spliced from 3 exons. The record is from RefSeq and is a predicted model, not a curated record. NCBI's taxonomy places the organism in Eukaryota, Metazoa, Chordata, Mammalia, Artiodactyla, Balaenopteridae.